This 819-nucleotide ribosomal RNA is filed under the name uncultured bacterium. RNAcentral's name for it is "bacterial SSU rRNA". It matches the Rfam family "Bacterial small subunit ribosomal RNA", at positions 8 to 843 of the family's 1533-position model. The record is from RNAcentral.
AGAGUUUGAUCCUGGCUCAGGACGAACGCUGGCGGCGUGCUUAACACAUGCAAGUCGAGCGAGGAAAUUGCUUCGGUAAUUUCCUAGCGGCGGACGGGUGAGUAACACGUGGGCAACCUGCCUGAUAGAGGGGGAUAGCCUCCCGAAAGGGAGAUUAAUACCGCAUAAAGUCAAAUGAAGGCAUCUUCAAAUGACCAAAGGAGUAAUCCGCUAUCAGAUGGGCCCGCGGCGCAUUAGCUAGUUGGUGAGGUAACGGCUCACCAAGGCGACGAUGCGUAGCCGACCUGAGAGGGUGAUCGGCCACAUUGGGACUGGGACACGGCCCAGACUCCUACCGGAGGCAGCAGUGGGGAAUAUUGCACAAUGGGGGAAACCCUGAUGCAGCAACGCCGCGUGAGUGAUGAAGGCCUUCGGGUUGUAAAGCUCUGUCUUCAGGGACGAUAAUGACGGUACCUGAGGAGGAAGCCACGGCUAACUACGUGCCAGCAGCCGCGGUAAUACGUAGGUGGCAAGCGUUGUCCGGAUUUACUGGGCGUAAAGGGAGCGUAGGCGGUUACUUAAGUGGGAUGUGAAAUACCUGGGCUUAACUUUGGUGCUGCAUUCCAAACUGGGUGUCUAGAGUGUUGGAGAGGCCAGUGGAAUUCCUAGUGUAGCGGUGAAAUGCGUAGAGAUUAGGAAGAACACCAGUGGCGAAGGCGACUUUCUGGACAAUAACUGACGCUGAGGCUCGAAAGGGUGGGGAGCAAACAGGAUUAGAUACCCUGGUAGUCCACGCCGUAAACGAUGGGUACUAGGUGUAGGGGGUAUCGACUCCCCCUG